RNAcentral lists this unclassified non-coding RNA (305 nucleotides) under plant metagenome. Its description in RNAcentral is "partial contains 5.8S ribosomal RNA, internal transcribed spacer 2, and large subunit ribosomal RNA". The stretch from base 1 to 105 matches the Rfam family "5.8S ribosomal RNA", at positions 50 to 154 of the family's 154-position model. The record is from RNAcentral.
GAAAUGCGAUAAGUAGUGUGAAUUGCAGAAUUCAGUGAAUCAUCGAAUCUUUGAACGCACAUUGCGCCCUUUGGUAUUCCUUAGGGCGUGCCUGUUCGAGCGUCAUUUAAACCCUUCAAGCUCAGCUUGGUGUUGGGUGACUGUCCGCCGCCCCCGGGCGUGGACUCGCCCCAAAUCCAUUGGCGGCCGGUACGUAGGCUUCGAGCGCAGCAGAAACGCGAACUCGAGCCCGCGGUGUCGGCUCCCAGAAGCCAUCUCUUUUAUUUUGACCUCGGAUCAGGUAGGGAUACCCGCUGAACUUAAGC